AGUUUUCUACUCGUACCUUUUGCAUCAUGAUUUAGCAAGAAAACUACAAGCAAAGAGCCCUUUAGUUUGUAACCCCGAAACUGAGCGAGCUACUCCAAGACAGCCUAUAAAGGGCAAACCCGUCUCUGUGGCAAAAGAGUGGGAAGAGCUUUGAGUAGAGGUGACAAACCUACCGAGCCCAGUUAUAGCUGGUUGCCUGUGAAAUGAAUAGGAGUUCAGCCCUUUAAGUCUUUCCCCCCUCACCCAUGCUUACGCUAAAAUUGAUUAAGGAAACUAAAGGCGUUAAUCAAAAGGGGUACAGCCCUUUUGAUAGAAGAAACAACUUUAACAGGUGACCCAAGAUCAUAUUACCCAAGGAUUUCAAAUUAAGUGGGCCUAAAAGCAGCCAUCUUAUCAGAAAGCGUUAAAGCUCAAAUUAGCCUAUAUCCUCAUAUACUGAUAUUACAUCUCCCUCCCUGCCCCUUACCAGGCUGUCUUAUGCCCCCAUAAGAACAAUUAUGCUAAAAUGAGUAAUAAGAAGAAUUUAAUUCUUCUCCUAGCACAUGUGUAAGUCGGAACGGACCUCCCACCGACUAUUAAUCGACCCCAAACCCAGAGGGUAAUAGGUCAAAAAAACAAGAAAAACACCUAUUUUAUAUCGUUAACCCCACACAGGUGUGCCUAAAGGAAAGACUAAAAGAGAAGGAAGGAACUCGGCAAACACAAGCCUCGCCUGUUUACCAAAAACAUCGCCUCUUGCUCCAAAAAUAUAAGAGGUCCCGCCUGCCCUGUGACUAUAAGUUUAACGGCCGCGGUAUUUUAACCGUGCGAAGGUAGCGUAAUCACUUGUCUUUUAAAUGAAGACCUGUAUGAAUGGCAUCACGAGGGCUUAGCUGUCUCCCAUCUCCAGUCAAUGAAAUUGACCUCCCCGUGCAGAGGCGGGGAUAAUUACAUAAGACGAGAAGACCCUAUGGAGCUUUAGACCUAAAGUAAGUCACGUUUAACAUGCUGUGAUAACAGUAAAAACUUAGUGAUAUUUACUGAAGUGUCUUUGGUUGGGGCGACCGCGGGGUAAAACACAACCCCCAUGUGGACCGGGGAUAUUAUCCCUAAUACUCAGAGCCUCUACUCCAAGUAACAGAAAUUCUGACUUUUCUGAUCCGGUAUAACCGAUCAACGAACCGAGUUACCCUAGGGAUAACAGCGCAAUCCCCUCUCAGAGCCCAUAUCGACGAGGGGGUUUACGACCUCGAUGUUGGAUCAGGACAUCCUAAUGGUG
RNAcentral lists this ribosomal RNA (1258 nucleotides) under Pollachius virens (saithe). RNAcentral's name for it is "partial 16S ribosomal RNA". It matches the Rfam family "Bacterial large subunit ribosomal RNA", at positions 589 to 2555 of the family's 2925-position model. The record is from RNAcentral. Lineage: Eukaryota; Metazoa; Chordata; Actinopteri; Gadiformes; Gadidae.